GAUUAACGCUAGCGGCAGGCAUAAUACAUGCAAGUUGAACGGCAGCACAGGUAGCAAUACUGGGUGGCGAGUGGCGCACGGGUGCGUAACACGUAUGCAACCUACCCUAUACAGGCGAAUAACCUUUAGAAAUGAGGGCUAAUACGCCGUAGUAUUACAGAUGGGCAUCUAUUUGUAAUUAAAGAUUUAUCGGUAUAGGAUGGGCGUGCGUCCCAUUAGUUAGUUGGUAAGGUAACGGCUUACCAAGACGAUGAUGGGUAGGGGAUCUGAGAGGACUUACCCCCACACUGGUACUGAGACACGGACCAGACUCCUACGGGAGGCAGCAGUAAGGAAUAUUGGGCAAUGGCCGCGAGGCUGACCCAGCCAUGCCGCGUGCAGGAAGACGGCCUUAUGGGUUGUAAACUGCUUUUAUACGGGAAUAAUAGAGUGUACGCGUACAUUUAUGCAAGUAUCGUAUGAAUAAGCAUCGGCUAACUCCGUG
Molecule: ribosomal RNA, 484 nt
Filed under: uncultured bacterium
Lineage: Bacteria
Description: partial 16S ribosomal RNA
Rfam family: Bacterial small subunit ribosomal RNA
Source: RNAcentral